Molecule: transfer RNA, 123 nt
Filed under: Aureobasidium melanogenum CBS 110374
Lineage: Eukaryota; Fungi; Ascomycota; Dothideomycetes; Dothideales; Saccotheciaceae
Rfam family: tRNA
About the family: Transfer RNA (tRNA) molecules are approximately 80 nucleotides in length.
Source: Rfam by way of RNAcentral
GCCGUGGUGGUGCAGGGGUAGCACACCUGAUCCAGUAACCUAAGCUCCUAAUUCGCCCACCUAAAUCCCUAAUACUCUCUCUCACGGAUCGGGAGGUCGCAGGUUCGAUUCCUGCCUACGGUG